GGUCCCAUUUCAGUACCUUCCACUCGCUUUAAAAUGAAUGGAUGGCUAUGCUAAUGGGAGAGAAAAACGCUGUCAUGGUCUGAGGGUGUGGCUAACCUAACUGUGUACCACACUAAAUAAAAUGACAGAACAUCCGAAU
This is a small nucleolar RNA of Takifugu rubripes (torafugu), 139 nucleotides long. Ensembl annotates it as small nucleolar RNA SNORA29. The record is from Ensembl. NCBI's taxonomy places the organism in Eukaryota, Metazoa, Chordata, Actinopteri, Tetraodontiformes, Tetraodontidae.